GAAGGGGGCUAGCGUUGCUCGGAAUCACUGGGGCGUAAAGGGGCGCGUAGGCGGCUGAUUUAGUCGAGGGUGAAAGCCUGUGGCUCAACCACAGAAUUGCCUUCGAUACUGGUUGGCUUGAGACCGGAAGAGGACAGCGGAACUGCGAGUGUAGAGGUGAAAUUCGUAGAUAUUCGCAAGAACACCAGUGGCGAAGGCGGCUGUCUGGUCCGGUUCUGACGCUGAGGCGCGAAAGCGUGGGGAGCAAACAGGAUUAGAUACCCUGGUAGUCCACGCUGUAAACGAUGAAUGCUAGCCGUUGGUCUGCAUGCAGGUCAGUGGCGCCGCUAACGCAUUAAGCAUUCCGCCUGGGGAGUACGGUCGCAAAGAUUA
This 372-nucleotide ribosomal RNA is filed under the name uncultured organism. Its description in RNAcentral is "partial 16S ribosomal RNA". It matches the Rfam family "Bacterial small subunit ribosomal RNA", at positions 527 to 896 of the family's 1533-position model. The record is from RNAcentral.